GGGGAAGUGGCUCAGUGGUAGAGUGCUUGCCUUGCAUGCAUGAGGCCCUGGGUUUGAUUCCCCAGCACCA
This 70-nucleotide transfer RNA is filed under the name Dipodomys ordii (Ord's kangaroo rat). It matches the Rfam family "tRNA". Rfam says of the family: Transfer RNA (tRNA) molecules are approximately 80 nucleotides in length. The record is from Rfam by way of RNAcentral. Lineage: Eukaryota; Metazoa; Chordata; Mammalia; Rodentia; Heteromyidae.